RNAcentral lists this non-coding RNA (44 nucleotides) under Schistosoma mattheei. Lineage: Eukaryota; Metazoa; Platyhelminthes; Trematoda; Strigeidida; Schistosomatidae. The record is from RNAcentral.
AUCCAGCUGACAGUCCUAAAUGGGACGAAAUGUGCUUCCUGGAU